Molecule: ribosomal RNA, 460 nt
Filed under: uncultured bacterium
Lineage: Bacteria
Description: partial 16S ribosomal RNA
Rfam family: Bacterial small subunit ribosomal RNA
Source: RNAcentral
CCUACGGGAGGCAGCAGUGAGGAAUAUUGGUCAAUGGACGAGAGUCUGAACCAGCCAAGUAGCGUGAAGGAUGACUGCCCUAUGGGUUGUAAACUUCUUUUAUAUGGGAAUAAAAUGUUCCACGUGUGGGAUUUUGUAUGUACCAUAUGAAUAAGGAUCGGCUAACUCCGUGCCAGCAGCCGCGGUAAUACGGAGGAUCCGAGCGUUAUCCGGAUUUAUUGGGUUUAUAGGGAGCGUAGGUGGAUUGUUAAGUCAGUUGUGAAAGUUUGCGGCUCAACCGUAAAAUUGCAGUUGAAACUGGCAGUCUUGAGUACAGUAGAGGUGGGCGGAAUUCGUGGUGUAGCGGUGAAAUGCUUAGAUAUCACGAAGAACUCCGAUUGCGAAGGCAGUUCACUGGACUGCAACUGACACUGAGGCUCGAAAGUGUGGGUAUCAAACAGGAUUAGAUACCCCAGUAGUC